Molecule: ribosomal RNA, 497 nt
Filed under: uncultured bacterium
Lineage: Bacteria
Description: partial 16S ribosomal RNA
Rfam family: Bacterial small subunit ribosomal RNA
Source: RNAcentral
GAUGAACGCUGGCGGCGUGCCUAAUACAUGCAAGUCGAGCGAACAGACGAGGAGCUUGCUCCUCUGACGUUAGCGGCGGACGGGUGAGUAACACGUGGAUAACCUACCUAUAAGACUGGGAUAACUUCGGGAAACCGGAGCUAAUACCGGAUCAUAUAUUGAACCGCAUGGUUCAAUAGUGAAAGACGGUUUUGCUGUCACUUAUAGAUGGAUCCGCGCCGAAUUAGCUAGUUGGUAAGGUAACGGCUUACCAAGGCAACGAUGCGUAGACGACCUGAGAGGGUGAUCGGCCACACUGGAACUGAGACACGGUCCAGACUCCUACGGGAGGCAGCAGUAGGGAAUCUUCCGCAAUGGGCGAAAGCCUGACGGAGCAACGCCGCGUGAGUGAUGAAGGUCUUCGGAUCGUAAAACUCUGUUAUUAGGGAAGAACAAAUGUGUAAGUAACUAUGCACGUCUUGACGGUACCUAAUCAGAAAGCCACGGCUAACUACGUG